Non-coding RNA from Cyanistes caeruleus (blue tit), 668 nucleotides. Lineage: Eukaryota; Metazoa; Chordata; Aves; Passeriformes; Paridae. The record is from RefSeq and is a predicted model, not a curated record.
CUCCCCUGCCGGGGGCACUUGAAGGCAAAGAGCUUAAAAUGUUCCCUUCCCCAGCGCCACAGGUAUAGUGGCAAACACCGCGGAGAGAGAAGCGGGGGAGACUGACUUGGCACUGCCGGUGCAGAGAGGAGAUCAGUGCGCGACUGAUUAUCGUAGUUGUCUUGUUCUUGACAUAUUAGGACACAUGAGAGAGAAGGCCUAGGAGCAGCAGCAGCAGCAGUGAUUGAUGAAGUGACAUGGAGAUGAUCACCCAGCAGUGGAAGGAGUUGUGUCUACGAUUUCAAACUGAGGGACACAUCUUCCUCAGGUACUGGCUGUCUGGAGCCCAUCUAUCAUCACCUGAGCCUGACACCACUGGCACCCCGUACAAGUCUUGGUGCCACCCCUGGAGGAUGUGAUGUCUGACAUACGAGCAAUGUCUUCUAUAAAUUCUCCUGGGAGGAAAGUCCCUUACCAUCCUGCCAGCAAAUGCACCUGAAUUUGCAUGGCACAAAUACAUCCCAUGGACCCCAUUGCUUGGAGCUGACUCCCACAUCACAUUCACCUGUGUGAAUCAUGGGUUCCUGUCCCUCAGGGUGAAGGUGCAGCUGGGGAAGGUGCAGGACAUCUAUCUGCACUUUCUAUUGAAAAACAUACACCUGUAUUUUUCUUCCUUGUCUAACUUCCAU